This 378-nucleotide ribosomal RNA is filed under the name uncultured eukaryote. Its description in RNAcentral is "SSU rRNA". It matches the Rfam family "Eukaryotic small subunit ribosomal RNA", at positions 587 to 969 of the family's 1831-position model. The record is from RNAcentral.
AGCUCCAAUAGCGUAUAUUAAAGUUGUUGCGGUUAAAAAGCUCGUAGUUGGAUUUCUGUCGAAGGCGGCCGGUCCGCACUAUGUGCGUGUAUCUGGUUCGGUUUUGGCAUCCUCUUGGGGAACGUUUCUGUGCUUGAUUGCAUGGGGCGGAAUUCAAGACUUUUACUUUGAGGAAAUUAGAGUGUUCACGGCAAGCUAUCGCUUUGAAUACAUUAGCAUGGAAUAAUAAUAUAGGGCGUAAGUUCUAUUUUGUUGGUUUCUAGGACAUACGCAAUGAUUAAUAGGGACAAUUGGGGGCAUUCGUAUUAACGCGUCAGAGGUGGAAUUCUUAGAUUGCGUUACGACGAACUACUGCGAAAGCAUUUGCCAAGGAUGUUU